This 465-nucleotide ribosomal RNA is filed under the name uncultured bacterium. RNAcentral's name for it is "bacterial SSU rRNA". It matches the Rfam family "Bacterial small subunit ribosomal RNA", at positions 339 to 794 of the family's 1533-position model. The record is from RNAcentral.
UUACGGAAGGCAGCAGCUAAGAAUCUUCCGCAAUGGACGAAAGUCUGACGGAGCGACGCCGCGUGGACGAUGAAGGCCGAAAGGUUGUAAAGUCCUUUUCCUGGAGAAGAAUAACCCCGUGAGGAAAUGCUCGGGGGAUGACGUUACCCAGGGAAUAAGCCCCGGCUAAUUACGUGCCAGCAGCCGCGGUAACACGUAAGGGGCGAGCGUUGUUCGGAAUUAUUGGGCGUAAAGGGCGUGCAGGCGGUCGUGCAAGUCUGGUGUGAAAGGUUGGAGCUUAACUCCAAACGCGCGCUGGAAACUGCAGGACUAUUGAGUGCCGGAGAGGAAGCUAGAAUUCCAGGUGUAGGGGUGAAAUCUGUAGAUAUCUGGAAGAAUACCGGUGGCGAAGGCGAGCUUCUGGCCGAGCACUGACGCUGAGGCGCGAAAGCGUGGGGAGCAAACAGGCUUAGAUACCCUGGUAGA